ACAGCUUGAAAUCAUGUUCAAACAAAGCUAAACAUCAUUAACCUAAAUAUAUAGUAAAACAGAUACAUGUAGAUCGGCAGAGAUGACUAAAUUUAAACUACCUCAUAAAGCUAACAAUAAACUAUUUACAGAUGUAGGACCAUGGUCCAUGAGAAUAGCGUAGUCAAUCUCUUUUCUUUUCCCACUCUACCAUUUUCUGCCACAAACUCAAAACCCCAACAACAUAGUCAAUCUCAUCUUCAAGCCUUCGGCAAGAAUAACACCCAUCUUGCUCUUCUUCAAAACCCCAACAACAUAGUCUGUCUCGUAGUCACCAUUUUCUGCCACAAACUCAAAACCCCAACAACAUAGUCAAUCUCAUCUUCAAGCCUUCGGCAAGAAUAACACCCAUCUUGCUCUUCUUCAAAACCCCAACAACAUAGUCUGUCUCGUAGUCAAUCUCGUCGUUGUAGAAUCAAUUACAUGAUCUCUUCUGAUAGUUGUUUGGACCACCAGUUGCUGCUGUUGUUACUCAUCAUUUACACGUAGAUCUUGGGAUCCAGAUCUGGAUCGGCAUAUAGAGAAAGAGAGAGAGAGAGAGAGAGAGAGAGAGACAAAGAGAUAGAGAGGAAAGGAGGAUUUAUCCGCGGCAAAUAGACAGAAAGACCACUAGUUGCUCUUUAUUUAUAUUGUUAUAACU
Molecule: long non-coding RNA, 679 nt
Filed under: Prunus persica (peach)
Lineage: Eukaryota; Viridiplantae; Streptophyta; Magnoliopsida; Rosales; Rosaceae
Description: long non-coding RNA (PPER_LNC006038)
Source: RNAcentral